RNAcentral lists this ribosomal RNA (253 nucleotides) under uncultured bacterium. RNAcentral describes it as "partial 16S ribosomal RNA". It matches the Rfam family "Bacterial small subunit ribosomal RNA", at positions 524 to 776 of the family's 1533-position model. The record is from RNAcentral.
UACAGAGGGUGCGAGCGUUAAUCGGAGUUACUGGGCGUAAAGGGCGCGUAGGCGGUUUAAUAAGUUAGAUGUGAAAUCCCUGGGCUUAACCUAGGAACUGCAUCUAAGACUGUUGAGCUAGAGUAUUGUAGAGGGUAGUGGAAUUUCCGGUGUAGCGGUGAAAUGCGUAGAGAUCGGAAGGAACACCAGUGGCGAAGGCGGCUACCUGGACAGAUACUGACGCUGAGGCGCGAGAGCGUGGGGAGCAAACAGG